Molecule: ribosomal RNA, 660 nt
Filed under: uncultured bacterium
Lineage: Bacteria
Description: bacterial SSU rRNA
Rfam family: Bacterial small subunit ribosomal RNA
Source: RNAcentral
CAGUGGCGAACGGGUGCGUAACACGUGGGCAAUCUGCCGAGAAGUGGGGGAUAGCUCGCCGAAAGGCGAAUUAAUACCGCAUGUGAUCAGGGGAGACAUCUUCCCGAAAUCAAAGGUGGCGCAAGCUACCGCUUUUUGAGGAGCCCGCGGCCUAUCAGCUUGUUGGUGAGGUAACGGCUCACCAAGGCGUUGACGGGUAGCUGGUCUGAGAGGACGACCAGUCACACUGGGACUGAGACACGGCCCAGACACCUACGGGUGGCAGCAGUCGAGAAUUUUUCUCAAUGGGGGCAACCCUGAAGGAGCGACGCCGCGUGGAGGAUGAAGGCUUUCGGGUUGUAAACUCCUGUCAUUUGAGAACAAGUUGGACGCAGUAACUACGCGUCCAUUGAUAGUAUCAGAAGAGGAAGGGACGGCUAACUCUGUGCCAGCAGCCGCGGUAAUACAGAGGUCCCAAGCGUUGUUCGGAUUCAUUGGGCGUAAAGGGUGCGUAGGUGGCGCCGUAAGUGGGGUGUGAAAUUUCGGAGCUUAACUCCGAAACUGCAUUCCAUACUGCGGUGCUUGAGGACUGGAGAGGAGACUGGAAUUUACGGUGUAGCAGUGAAAUGCGUAGAGAUCGUAAGGAAGACCAGUGGCGAAGGCGGGUCUCUGGACAGUUCC